UCACAUCUGCAACCGCACAUGCUAGGUCACAAGUCUUUCAUGUGAAGGCACCUGGCUUGGCGAGUCUAAGUAUUUUU
This is a non-coding RNA of Lactobacillus jensenii JV-V16, 77 nucleotides long. NCBI's taxonomy places the organism in Bacteria, Bacillati, Bacillota, Bacilli, Lactobacillales, Lactobacillaceae. The record is from Rfam.